This 500-nucleotide ribosomal RNA is filed under the name uncultured bacterium. Its description in RNAcentral is "partial 16S ribosomal RNA". It matches the Rfam family "Bacterial small subunit ribosomal RNA", at positions 30 to 523 of the family's 1533-position model. The record is from RNAcentral.
AUUGAACGCUGGCGGCAUGCCUUACACAUGCAAGUCGAACGGUAACGGGUCCUUCGGGAUGCCGACGAGUGGCGAACGGGUGAGUAAUAUACCGGAACGUGCCCAGUAGUGGGGGAUAACUGCUCGAAAGAGCAGCUAAUACCGCAUACGACCUGAGGGUGAAAGGGGGGGAUCGCAAGACCUCUCGCUAUUGGCGCGGCCGAUAUCAGAUUAGCUAGUUGGUGGGGUAAAGGCCUACCAAGGCAACGAUCUGUAGUUGGUCUGAGAGGACGACCAGCCACACUGGGACUGAGACACGGCCCAGACUCCUACGGGAGGCAGCAGUGGGGAAUUUUGGACAAUGGGCGCAAGCCUGGUCCAGCAAUGCCGCGUGCAGGAAGAAGGCCUUCGGGUUGUAAACUGCUUUUGUCAGGGAAGAAAUCUUCUGGGCUAAUACCCCGGGAGGAUGACGGUACCUGAAGAAUAAGCACCGGCUAACUACGUGCCAGCCGCCGCCGUAA